Molecule: long non-coding RNA, 648 nt
Organism: Leopardus geoffroyi (Geoffroy's cat)
Lineage: Eukaryota; Metazoa; Chordata; Mammalia; Carnivora; Felidae
Exons: 3
Source: RefSeq, a predicted model, not a curated record
ACUGAGGCGGUGCUCAGGUCUCAGCGCCCUUUCCUCUGAUUGGGUGGAACCAAGGGGCGGACGGACAAAAGAGGAGGUAGAGACUGGUUACUCCUGGGAAGAAGGCGGAGCCUUGUCGAGGAGGGAGGUGGUAUUUGGCUGGCAGUGGUAGCCCCGCCCCCUCACCGCGAUUUGGGACACAGACUUAGAACAGUCAGUGGAGUUCCUACGCCUCCUAGUCAUCCCAGCAACCAGUGACGCGGGCCGCCUGAGGUCAACCACUGGCCAACUGGGGAAAGCGGGACUGCAGCGUGACCCCUUUUCCGAGCCGCCUCCCAGCUCCCCCUAUUCGGCGGCCGAGCGCUCCGCCAGUCCCUUCCUCCCUUCUCCUUAGUCCCGCAGUCUGGGAGGCAGGGGUCGGCGAGCCAGCUGAGUGGGAACCGCGUGGUGUACAAGGAGCCAUUCGGCGACCGCCCUCAAGGUGGACUGGCGCCGUGGGAGAGGAGCUGAGGUCGGAAGAGUUUCGCCAAGCAACUCGUGACGACCACCGUUGACGGAAGCGCCCGGAAUUGGCUGCGCUGCGACCUUCUCAGAUUUCCUCCCAGGGCAAGUUCCAGCAUGGGGUGAAGUACAGAAGAGAGACUUGAAGGGUGUACUCUGAUCAGGGUC